Molecule: long non-coding RNA, 282 nt
Organism: Lycium ferocissimum
Lineage: Eukaryota; Viridiplantae; Streptophyta; Magnoliopsida; Solanales; Solanaceae
Exons: 2
Source: RefSeq, a predicted model, not a curated record
CUAACCUCAGGGAAACUCCAUAGAAUACCCCAAGUUACAUAUAAUCUUGAACCUAUCUGUGGAAGAGUUGCUGAUACUGGAGAUCUUACCAAACCUAUCUUGGUGGGAUUUACCUCUAAAAUGGCGGCGGUUUGAGCUAAAAGAAGAGGCUUUUCGACAGCAUCAUAGACAUGUUCAUGCCCAGACUCUUUCAGAGUUUUCACAGCAAGAUAAAAUACUUGAAACCUGAAAUUUCCAAUUACCCAAAUUAAAAUUGAAAAAAAAAAAAAAAGAGUAGAACAA